RNAcentral lists this long non-coding RNA (3349 nucleotides) under Marmota monax (woodchuck). Lineage: Eukaryota; Metazoa; Chordata; Mammalia; Rodentia; Sciuridae. The record is from RNAcentral.
UCGCUUCUACUUCAUAGAAAGCAUCAAUUAAUACCUUAAAACAUUAACCUUUGUUUUACAUUUUUCUCCAAAGAAAAUGUGUUAUUUAGAAAACAAACAUUGUUGCCUUGUGAUCAGGGUUAUUUUUUUUCAAAUGAGCCAACACAACGGAAUAAAAUAUACGAUCUGAGUGGCUGAGGCUGACUCACUUCCUGUUUCAAUAACAAAAAUGUCAUCAGCUAGACUCCAACCAGCACAGUUUGUCACUGUGUUUGUGGCUUUAUUUGUACUUGUUGCCAAAGGUUCUUAGGGAAAAUACACUCAUCAUUUUCAUACCAGAAAGGAGACUCUCAGUGAGCAGAUUUGGCUACGGCUGUUGCCUUGUAUAUUAUUUAUGUUAUAACCAAUGCUUUCUUAAUGCAGCGAGAAUGCUUGUCUGGCUGCAUAAAACUACUGGGAAUUCACAGUUCACUCAUGUCACCAAAGUGCUAACACCAGUGGUGGUUUUCCAAAGAGUGAGCAGUAUGUUCAAGUGGCAAGGUAAAACAUCACAGCUGAGAAUCAAAGGCCUAAAUGUUUGCCUGCCUUAUCUAAGAGACUAUUGGAUCUUGGACUUUCAUUUAACAUCUACAGAUGAUAGUAUUGAAUAAGAUGAUCUCUAUGUUUUCUUCUAAUAAAAAAUUCCAAGAUUCUUUUCCUAGAAUCAUGAAACUCAGUUGGCAUUCUUUGCUUGGUCAGUGUAUAAUGUUCCCUGAAUUUAGAACUUGAUCCUCUAUCGAUUCACUGGUCUGAUUUUAAAUGAUUCAUCUGCAUGAGUCAUUGCCACAUGACUCCAGGAUUGGAUGGCUAUCUACUGCAUUGGUACUACCUUUUUUUGCAAAUUGCAGUAGCUCAGCUGCUAAAGAUUCCAGACUGUGCGUGCCCCUGGUCACAUCAGCUGCAAGACCGCAUUCAGGGCUUGCAAGACACACCUGGAGGGCUUGGGAAGAAGAGGAUCCAGGUAUCUAAUUGGACUCCCUAAAUGCCAUUCCAGGCUGUCUUUGAGGUUUACGUGGUUUAGGACAGAUUCUCAGGAGACAGAGAGGCAUUUUAGGAAUCCUCCAGAUCUUACCUGAGGAAAGCCACUCUGGUGACUCAUCAGGUGUGACAUUCCCCUUAGAGUCAGAAUGAAACAACAUCCUAUUCAAGAGAAGAGGGACUUUCCUGCAGCUGAUGGGGAAACUUAGACAAAAUCCAAGUCAUUCUUUUGCCCAGUUUUAGAAAUCUCCAUGCCUGUAUGGAAGCAUAUGGAUCUUAAUGAUUUCUCUUUCAAAAUCCUCGUAGAGAAUGACAUUCUGGCCAUGUUUCUCCCUCAAAUGUGUCUUAAAAAUUCAUCAGAGUCUAACUAUAAAGGCACCACCCAGUUGUAAUAAUUAGCAUCUUAUUUGCAUUCAGUUUGAUUCCAAGUUCUACAUAAGUGUCUAAUCUGGUGAUAUGCAUUGUGUAAUUGCUAAGUAAAUAUUUGCCAUCCGUUACAAAGAAUGAAUAAAAUGGGCACGGCUGUUUUCCUGUCCUUGUAACCCAGGGUUUUAUUCUUCAUGAGUAGUGUGUGACUAUAGUCAAAUCAGUGGCAACCAUAACCAUCAGCCUUGCAUCAUGGUAUUAUGUUCCUGUGACUCUCUUAUUGAUAACUGGGCAUCCACUUUGGACUCAGUUACAAAAACAUUAUGGAAGACUAUGCUGCUAUGUACCUACCAAAAAUGAUGGGGAUGCCCUGUUUUCUAUAAAGCUUGACAUUCCUGAGGAAGGGGGUUGCAGCUAUUGAAAAAAAAUACCAUCCUCAGGAAAUGAGUCCGCAACCUUGUCCAUGGCCAUGGACAAUCAGGCACAACCUGGGGAUACUGAAAAGUGUUUGAACCAAUGCCAGGGUUUCAACCAAUUCAAGAGUGACUUGGUCCCUCCCUAGCAGUCAGAAGCAAUUUGGGUCUAUAGGUCCCAUGGAUAACAGGAAAUAUCCAAAGUCUACUCCUGCAUUGCUUUGGUUUACCAAGAGUUUAUGGGUUGAGUAUCAACUGGUGCUGGUCAUUUCCAGUUUUGCCCAAAAGAAACCAACAGUUCAAUCAUGUAAUAGUCUCUAGCUCCUCCUUCCCCUUUAGGCCUUCUCCCUGACAGUCUGUUCUUUGCUCCCAGAAAUAGUCCUCCUACCAUAGAUUGAUUGAUGACUGCAGGCUACUUUCACUUCCCAUUUUAAGAUUUUAAAAUUCCCCAGUCUAGAUUCUCACUUUAGAAUCUUUGCUGUAAGCUUCUGAUCCUCAAAUCCUUCUAGAGCCUUAACCCCAUUACUCUGAGAUCACCUGUAAAUACAAACUGCAGUGUAUCCUUCCCAGUCUGGAACAGACUAGCUGUUCCUAGACACAGCUCCACUUCUUCCCUUUUGUGUAUUUCUUGCAAGGACUGUGCCCCCACUGCCUUUGCCGACUGAGGCCUUUUCCUCACCCCAGAGCCCUACCAUGCCUCUCCCAGCUACCUCUUUCCAGCCGUCCCCUAUCUGAUAGACCUCUUCCCCCUUGGCCUGUUAGCAGCACCUGAGUCUGUACUGUUUGAGAAUGAUCUUGUGAUCUCUAUUUUGAGCUGCACAAUUGUCUUUGGAUAUGGGUCCCCAACAUAACUGUUUCCCUGCAGCCCAGUUCACUCAUGGAUCCAUGGCUUGGCAGAGAGAGCUCUCAGGCUGAGUGACCAUGGACCAGCCUGCGUCUCUGUACCUCAGUUUCCUCCUCUGUAGGAGGAGAACACCAAAACUGACCUCAUGGAAACCUUGUGAGGAGAGAAGGAGAAGAUGAACGUAAAGGACCUGGUAGGAGUUGACAUACGACAGAAACUCAGGAAUCACCUCCUACUGACACCUGAAGAUCACAAGAGCAAUUGGCUCAUUAGCUUUCCCAGGGAAGGCAUUUCUGCUCCAUGUACUAUUAUUGGUAUCUCUGAUUUGGGGUUCUGAACUUGUGUGCUUCACAGGGGCUUCAAGUCCCCUGUGUCACUCAAUAGUGACAAACCAAAAUAAAAGAUCUUGGCAAAUGAUUAGCAGCCAUUCCUGCUGCUGUGGUCAUAAACCCUGUUGCUAUUUUAGGGCCAGUAUUGUUCAAGCUGGAUUUAGUUUUCCUUUGCUGUCUAUUUUGGCGUUGACUUGCUCUAAAAGGGCAGGCUGCACAUGGUGUGUCAAGCCAGUGGCUUGUCUGUGGUCUUUGUCCAAGUUUACUCAGUGAGGAGAUCAGCAAUGGGAAAAAUAAAAGAACCUGAAAAAAAAAAUCACCUUUCAUUCAGUCUUUUUUAAAAUAUAUUUUUAAACAAAGAGAUGUCUUAGAAAGUGUUUUGCUUCUACUUGUAAAGCCAG